CCAGCACUCAGGGAGCUUGGAAGAAGGGAGUAGCUCAGGAGGGAGCUGAGAAGAGAGGAUCUGAUAGGAGGAGGAUAAAGCUGCUCCCCAGCCCUCGAAGUGCCUGCUUGGAGGUGUGAAGGUAACAGAUGGUCAUUGUGACGUGAACGUUAUUCCAAUAUCCACAGAGGAGGAAAAAGGACCAGCGUGAUCCAAACUUACAGGCUGUGCUUCAAGCCAUUUCCACCAGCCAGGAUUUGAGCUCGCUGCUGCCAAGUCCCAAACCUUCUGAGGAUGGAGCAGAGGCAGAGGUGAGUGUUAGCCAUUCCUAGCACCAGUUUGGUGCAGGGCUGGUGCCCCAGGGAAGGUGGUCUCAGUCCAGCCAGCAGCGUGGGCAGGCUGAGUGGCAGGCAGCUUCCCCUAUAGAUUGUAAUGGUUUCAUUUUCACUGGGUUUCAGCACUUGGCAUUUUGGGCUGAAUUUCACGCCAAGUUUUAAAAUCCAAGAGGCCCACAGGCCUUGUGGACAUGCAAAACCACCAAUGUAAUGAAAAUUGGUUUAAAAUUGAUUUAGUUAAAAAGAAAAAAGGAAA
Long non-coding RNA from Oenanthe melanoleuca, 570 nucleotides. RefSeq lists it as uncharacterized. The record is from RefSeq and is a predicted model, not a curated record. NCBI's taxonomy places the organism in Eukaryota, Metazoa, Chordata, Aves, Passeriformes, Muscicapidae. The transcript has 3 exons.